Non-coding RNA from Bos taurus (domestic cattle), 80 nucleotides. The record is from Rfam. Lineage: Eukaryota; Metazoa; Chordata; Mammalia; Artiodactyla; Bovidae.
UCCCUGGUGGCUCAGCGGCAAAGAAUCUGCCUGCAAAGCAGAAGCCACAGGAGACACGGGUUCGAUCCCUGGCUGGGAAA